This 253-nucleotide ribosomal RNA is filed under the name uncultured bacterium. RNAcentral's name for it is "partial 16S ribosomal RNA". It matches the Rfam family "Bacterial small subunit ribosomal RNA", at positions 524 to 776 of the family's 1533-position model. The record is from RNAcentral.
UACGUAGGUGGCAAGCGUUGUCCGGAUUUACUGGGCGUAAAGGGAGCGUAGGCGGACUUUUAAGUGAGAUGUGAAAUACCCGAGCUCAACUUCGGUGCUGCAUUUCAAACUGGAAGUCUAGAGUGCAGGAGAGGAGAAGGGAAUUCCUAGUGUAGAGGUGAAAUGCGUAGAGAUUAGGAAGAACACCAGUGGCGAAGGCGCUUCUCUGGACUGUAACUGACGCUGAGGCUCGAAAGCGUGGGGAGCAAACAGG